RNAcentral lists this ribosomal RNA (729 nucleotides) under Candidatus Tremblayella phenacoccinincola. RNAcentral's name for it is "bacterial SSU rRNA". It matches the Rfam family "Bacterial small subunit ribosomal RNA", at positions 658 to 1382 of the family's 1533-position model. The record is from RNAcentral. Lineage: Bacteria; Pseudomonadati; Pseudomonadota; Betaproteobacteria.
GGGAUAGAAUUCCAGGAGUAGCGGUGAAAUGCGUAGAUAUCUGGAGGAAUACCAAAGGCGAAGGCAGUCCCCUGGUCCGAUACUGACACUGAGGUACGAAAGCGUGGGGAGCAAACAGGAUUAGAUACCCUGGUAGUCCACGCCCUAAACGAUGUCGAUUAGCCAUUGGAAGGACCCCUUUUCCUUUCAGUGACGUAGCUAACGCGUUAAAUCGACCGCCUGGGAAGUACGACCGCAAGGUUAAAACUCAAAGGAAUUGACGGGGACCUGAACAAGCGGUGAAUGAUGUGGAUUAAUUCGAUGCUACGCGAAGAACCUUGCCUACCUUUGACAUGGCCAAAGUUCUACCGAGAGGCGGAAGUACUCGUAAGAGGAUUGGCGCACAGGUGCUGCAUGGUUGUCGUCAGUUCGUGUCGUGAGAUGUUGGGUUCAGUCCCGCAACGAACGCAACCCUUAUCUUUAAUUGCUCCUAUUUUAACAGGCACUUUAAAGAAACUGCCAAUGAUAAGUUGGAGGAAGGUGGGGAUCACGUCAAGUCCGCAUGGCCUUUAUAGGUAGGGCUUCACACGUCAUACAAUGGUUAGAACAAAGAGCUGCAAAUUCGUAAGAAGGAGCCAAUCUCACAAACCUAACCUCAGUUCGAAUUGCGGUCUGCAACUCGAGCGCAUGAAGCCGGAAUCGCUAGUAAUCGUGGAUCAGAAUGCCACGGUGAAUACGUUCUUAGGUCUU